UUGACCGCAGUCAAAAAGAGACACGCUUACGAAGCACAGAUGGGAAUCGAGCAGCCGCGAGAGAAUUCAAGAUCAACGAAUCCAUGGUUCGAAAGUGGAGGAAGCAGGAAAACGAGCUUCGCCAAGUCAAGAAGACGAAACGGAGUUUCCGCGGAAAAAGAAGAAAAACAAAAUGCGGAAACAAGGCAAAGUGGCCCGAGUUGGAAGACCAACUCGAGCAAUGGAUUAAUGAACUCCAACCGCUGGACAUCGGUGUAAACAGGGCGUUCACAGUGAAGUUGCGAGCGGCGUGGGAGCGAUGGAUGACAGAUGGCGAACACAGCUUUACUAAGACGAGGAGGCAGCGCCGGGCGAGUUACGCCACAAUAUGUGAAUGGAUUGCGGAUGCUUGGGCUAACGUCUGUUUGCACUGUUGUUCGAGCUUUUGUAAAAGCCGGCAUCAUUUCUGAGGAGCCGCACGGCAACGAGACUGACUCGAACCUAGCGUGUUUGAUUGAGAACUUGCCCAGCUGUUCAUUUCGGAUACCGAACAUGAGGACUUUGAUGGAUUUGUGGAUGAGGAUUGAUCAAAAUAAAAUGUGAGGGUAUGGUGCCAGAAAAGAAUUAGGGGAAGCUACCUGCGUAGGAGAGAAGAACACGAGGGCCACGGAAGAAGGAAGAUCAAGGCUCCCUUCUAAGAUGCUACAAAAAGGAAAAUCAGAAAAAAGAAGAAUACAAAUAAAUGGAAGAUCUGACGGGGUAAGAGAUCAACAUCAUGUGGACUACAUCAAGUUAUCCUCCAGUCAAUCACAAG
Phycodurus eques (leafy seadragon) is the source of this 793-nucleotide long non-coding RNA. RefSeq lists it as uncharacterized. The record is from RefSeq and is a predicted model, not a curated record. NCBI's taxonomy places the organism in Eukaryota, Metazoa, Chordata, Actinopteri, Syngnathiformes, Syngnathidae. The transcript has 3 exons.